UGUUCUGUCACCUUGCCAUCCCUACAUCA
RNAcentral lists this non-coding RNA (29 nucleotides) under Mus musculus (house mouse). The record is from RNAcentral. Lineage: Eukaryota; Metazoa; Chordata; Mammalia; Rodentia; Muridae.